GGGGAAAAAAAUUUAAAUUAUAGUUUGCAGUAUUGUUUCAUAUCUUGAUCAUAUGUUCCUAUUGUAGACUCAAGCAAGAGUCAUCGAUGAUUUCUUUCAUGAAAGCAUGUAAACUUUAAGAACUAUAUAUCGAUUAUGUAGAUAAUUUGACGAUGCAGCAUCAUCAUUUUAUUGGGCAAAGCCAAGCCUAAGGACAAAGGUUACAUAGUGAUACACACAUGACGCUGCUUCUAUAACAUUUAUAU
RNAcentral lists this long non-coding RNA (245 nucleotides) under Olea europaea (common olive). RNAcentral describes it as "long non-coding RNA (OEUR_LNC004135)". The record is from RNAcentral. Lineage: Eukaryota; Viridiplantae; Streptophyta; Magnoliopsida; Lamiales; Oleaceae.